CCUACGGGUGGCAGCAGUGAGGAAUAUUGGUCAAUGGUCGGGAGACUGAACCAGCCAAGCCGCGUGAGGGAUGAAGGUACAGAGUAUCGUAAACCUCUUUUGUCAGGGAACAAAGGCGUGGACGUGUCCCCGGAUGAGUGUACCUGAAGAAAAAGCAUCGGCUAACUCCGUGCCAGCAGCCGCGGUAAUACGGAGGAUGCGAGCUUUAGCCGGUUUUAUUGGGUUUAAAGGGUGCGCAGGCGGUCUGUUAAGUCAGCGGUAAAAGGCCGGGGCUCAACCCGGGACCGCCGUUGAAACUGGCAGUCUUGAGUGGGAGAGAGGCAUGCGGAAUGCGCGGUGUAGCGGUGAAAUGCAUAGAUAGCGCGAAGAACUCCGAGUGCGAAGGCAGCAUGCCGGAUACACACUGACGCUGAGGCACGAAAGCGUGGGUAUCGAACAGGAUUAGAUACCCUAGUAGUC
Molecule: ribosomal RNA, 459 nt
Filed under: uncultured bacterium
Lineage: Bacteria
Description: partial 16S ribosomal RNA
Rfam family: Bacterial small subunit ribosomal RNA
Source: RNAcentral